CCUGCGGAGUGUUAUAGCAAACGAGAGUAGCGAGCAAGUGGCAAAAUCGGACACGUAGAAACAGGAA
Molecule: small RNA, 67 nt
Organism: Enterococcus canis
Lineage: Bacteria; Bacillati; Bacillota; Bacilli; Lactobacillales; Enterococcaceae
Rfam family: RAGATH-18 RNA
About the family: Actinobacteria, Firmicutes, Fusobacteria, Thermotogae (1 example). Nearby to self-cleaving ribozyme genes
Source: Rfam